AAACUUUCAACAACGGAUCUCUUGGCUGUGGCAUCGAUGAAGAACGCAGCGAAAUGCGAUAACUAAUGUGAAUUGCAGAAUUCAGUGAAUCAUCGAGUCUUUGAACGCACAUUGCGCCCGCUGGUAUUCCGGCGGGCAUGCCUGUCCGAGCGUCAU
Molecule: ribosomal RNA, 156 nt
Filed under: Microascales sp. MAE1D-24-8-G1
Lineage: Eukaryota; Fungi; Ascomycota; Sordariomycetes; Microascales
Description: Graphium sp. MAE1D-24-8-G1 5.8S ribosomal RNA
Rfam family: 5.8S ribosomal RNA
About the family: 5.8S ribosomal RNA (5.8S rRNA) is a component of the large subunit of the eukaryotic ribosome. It is transcribed by RNA polymerase I as part of the 45S precursor that also contains 18S and 28S rRNA.
Source: RNAcentral